This 76-nucleotide transfer RNA is filed under the name Chlorobium sp. Its description in RNAcentral is "tRNA-Pro". It matches the Rfam family "tRNA". Rfam says of the family: Transfer RNA (tRNA) molecules are approximately 80 nucleotides in length. Their secondary structure includes four short double-helical elements and three loops (D, anti-codon, and T loops). Lineage: Bacteria; Pseudomonadati; Chlorobiota; Chlorobiia; Chlorobiales; Chlorobiaceae. RNAcentral also lists the same sequence under 1 other name. The record is from RNAcentral.
CGGGGUGUGGCUCAGUUGGUAGAGUGCUGCGUUCGGGACGCAGAGGUCGUGGGUUCGAAUCCCGCCACCCCGACCA